RNAcentral lists this long non-coding RNA (965 nucleotides) under Vigna radiata. Its description in RNAcentral is "long non-coding RNA (VRAD_LNC003075)". Lineage: Eukaryota; Viridiplantae; Streptophyta; Magnoliopsida; Fabales; Fabaceae. The record is from RNAcentral.
UGCGAGAAGUAAUCAGAAUGUUCUUAGAGCUUUGUAUCGUCGGUGUAAGGUAAAGGAAGCUAGUUUUACUUGAUUUGUUUGAUAGAAGACUUCUAAUUAAUGUUUGUAUGGUGAAUUAUUGAUUUAAUUGUGAAAUUGUAUUGGAUUAAGAAAUUUAGUAUGUUGAAUUGAUUGUAUAUAUGUGUUGGUGUGAAAAUUGAUUUAACAGUGAGGUACAAUGUGAUUCUGAUGUAAAACUUGUGUGUGAUGAAUUUAAAGAUGUUAAAUUCAGCGAAGUAGGAGAUGUCAAAUUGUAUAAAGCUUUUUUUACAUUUCAGCCGAAGAAAUAGGUACUUUUUAGGCUAGAAAGGGGGUUUUGAUAGGUGAAAAGUUAAGGGAAGGGUUAUUUUGGCUAAGCUGUGUUUUGGCAGGGGUCUAAGUGUUGAUUAAGACUUGUUUGAGUGUUAUGACAACAAAUUUAUGAGGUAGAACUGAUUGUUAUCCUUUUUAGUGUGUUUUGUAUGAUUUUUGGUUCAUUUUCAGGGGUUUUCACUAGUGAGAUUCUGAAUUAGAUGAUAUGGAAUAAAUGUGAUGGUUUGGGGACUGUUGUUAAGUUCAUUAAGACUUGUUCAAGCUGUUAGUUGCAGAAAAUUUGUGUUGAAAGGUAUAAAAUUGAGUUUAAGUGGUUUAAAGUAAUUAAGUUGACUUGAGAUAGCAAAUUUAGUCAGGAAAGUGUUUUACAAUGUUGCUCACUACAUAGGAGGUCUUAAGGAACAUUAGAGUGUGCGGGGAAAGUGUCCAAGUUGAGAUUUGAAGUGUAUAUCUAUGAGAGGUUAGUAACUACUCUGAAAAAUUCCACAACUCAUGGAAAAAUCCACAAUCUGCUUGUUCUUUUCUUUGUUUUCAAUUUCAUACUUCCUAAAGUAAAUCCACAAGUUGUGGAAAAAGCCACAACAUAGUUGUUGAACUUGCUGGUUUUCAAUUUC